ACGGAAGGCAGCAGUGGGGAAUAUUGGACAAUGGGGGAAACCCUGAUCCAGCGACGCCGCGUGAGUGAAGAAGUAUUUCGGUAUGUAAAGCUCUAUCAGCAAGGAAGAAAAUGACGGUACCUGACUAAGAAGCACCGGCUAAAUACGUGCCAGCAGCCGCGGUAAUACGUAUGGUGCAAGCGUUAUUCGGAUUUACUGGGUGUAAAGGGAGCGUAGACGGCAUAGCAAGUCUGAAGUGAAAUGCGGGGGCUCAACCCCUGAACUGCUUUGGAAACUGUUAAGCUAGAGUGUCGGAGAGGUAAGUGGAAUUCCUAGUGUAGCGGUGAAAUGCGUAGAUAUUAGGAGGAACACCAGUGGCGAAGGCGGCUUACUGGACGAUAACUGACGUUGAGGCUCGAAAGCGUGGGGAGCAAACAGGAUUAGAUACCCUGGUA
This 434-nucleotide ribosomal RNA is filed under the name uncultured Lachnospiraceae bacterium. RNAcentral describes it as "bacterial SSU rRNA". It matches the Rfam family "Bacterial small subunit ribosomal RNA", at positions 341 to 792 of the family's 1533-position model. The record is from RNAcentral. Lineage: Bacteria; Bacillati; Bacillota; Clostridia; Lachnospirales; Lachnospiraceae.